CACACACCCACAUCCCCACACACCCACAUACACACCCACACACACCCACCCACACACACUCACACACACCCACACACACACACACACCCACACACACCUACACACACCCACACCCACAUCCCCACACACACUCACACACACCCACCCACACACACACAUCCCCACACACCCACACACACUCACCCACAUCCCCACACACACCCACACACAGACUUCAUGUAUUUCUUAGUGUAGAGUAAGUGUGUCUAGCAUGAUUACGAGUCAUCCAGGUCUCUAUGGUAACCCAAUCCCUGACCAUAAACAUAAUAAAGUAAACAUGAAGGUUCCGCUGGGUUAUGAUGAUACUGCAGCUACGGUUAUCUGUAUCCUGUUUAUUACCGUAUCAAAGCUGCGUCAUCCUGUUUCAUCAGGCUUUAUGGGCAGAGAUCAUCUCGUGUUCCACUUCCAGAAGCACUUAGAUCUCGAUCUGAUACUUCACAACGAUGUGGGAAUCCUUUUUUUUUUUUUUAUAUAUUUAUAUAUACAGUCUACGGUGUGGAAUGUACGGCUAGUCACCGGGAAGAAUGAAAAGACUGUUCUCUUUUAAAAAAAUUUUUUUUUAAAGGCACCAGUUACCCUCCAGUGGAUCGAGAGACAGGCCUACAGGCAGGCAGACUGACUGACUGGCAGGCAGGCAGGCAGGCAGGCAGGCAGGCUGACUGACUGACUGACUGACUGACUGACUGACUGACUGACUGACUGACUGACUGACUGACUGACUGACUGACUGACUGGCGGGCGGGCGGGCAGGCGGAGAGAGAGAGAGAGAGAGACAGAGAGAGAGAGAGAGCGAACGAACUCAAAUGAAUAGGUUUUCCAUGCAACAGCCGUACUGUACUUUAUGAGUGGUGGACGGUGGUGUUCUCUGGGCUGGCCAGUCUAAGUCCCAGCAGAGGAAAUGCGUGGGAGUCUGUGCAUGCAUCCCAAAUGGUAUCCUAUUACCUAGUGCACUAUAUAGGGAAUAGGGUACCAUUUGAAACACUCCAGAUGGGGAAGGAUCAGGACUGGAGUGGGCUGCUCUGUCAAAAAACUACUGUCAGACUACAGUACUUUGUCAUUGGCUGAAUUAAGAAACAGCACUUCAUCUCAGCGGUGUUGAUUUAGCUCUCACUGCAUCUCAGCGGUGUUCAUUUAGCUCUCACUUCAUCUCAGCGGUGUUCAUUUAGCUCUCACUGCAUCUCAGCGGUGUUAAUUUAGCUCUCACUGCAUCUCAGCGGUGUUAAUUUAGCUCUCACUUCAUCUCAGCGGUGUUUAUUUAGCUCUCACUUCAUCUCAGCGGUGUUCAUUUAGCUCUCACUUCAUCUCAGCGGUGUUCAUUUAGCUCUCACUGCAUCUCAGCUGUGUUAAUUUAGCUCUCACUUCAUCUCAGCGGUGUUCAUUUAGCUCUCACUUCAUCCCAGCGGUGUUCAUUUAGCUCUCACUUCAUCCCAGCGGUGUUCAUUUAGCUCUCACUUCAUCUCAGUGUUGUUCAUUUAUUUCUCACUUCAUCUCAGCUGUGUUUCAUUUAGCUCUCACUUCAUCUCAGCGGUGUUCAUUUAGCUCUCACUUCAUCUCAGCGGUGUUCAUUUAUUUCUCACUUCAUCUAGCGGUGUUCAUUUAGCUCUCACUUCAUCUCAGCGAUAUUCAUUUAGCUCUCAAUUCAUCUCAGCGUUGUUCAUUUACCUCUCACCUUCACAGAUAACAUAACCAGCCUGUCUAAUGGACUGUAGGGUGUAUCUGUGUCUCUUAAACUAGUGCAGUAGUUCAUAUUCAUGGAGUGUACCAGUCAAAAGUUUGGACACAGCUUCUCAUUCAAGGGUUUUCUUUAUUUUUACUAUUUUCUACAAUGGUGAAGACAUCAAAACUAUGAAAUAACACAUAUGGAAUCAUGUAGUAACCAAAAAAGUGUUAAAUAAAUCACUAUAUAUUUUAGAUUCUUCAAAGUAGCCACCCUUUGCCUUGAUGACAGCUUUGCACACUCUUGUCAUUCUCUCAACCAGCUUCACCUGGAAUGCUUUUUCCAACCGUCUUGAAGAGGUUCUCACAUAUGCUGAGCACUUGUUGGCUGCUUUUCCUUCACUCUGCUGUCCAACUCAUUCCAAACCAUCUCAAUUGGGUUGAUGUCAGGUGAUUGUGGAGGCCAGGUCAUUUGAUGCAGCACUCCAUCACUCUCCUUCUUGGUCAAAUAGCCCUUACACAGCAUGGAGGUGUGUUGGGUCAUUGUCCUGUUGAAAAAUAAAUGAUAGUCCCACUAAGCCCAAACCAGAUGGGAUGGCGUAUCGCUGCAGAAUGUUGUUGUAGCCUUGCUGGUUAAGUGUGCCUUGAAUUCUAAAUAAAACACAGACCGUAUCACCAGCAAAGCACCAUCACACCUCCUCCACCAUGCUUCACGAUGAGAACCACACAUGCGGAGAUCAUCCGUUCACCUACUCUGCGUCUCACAAAGACACAGCGGUUGAAACCAAAAAUCUGAAAUUUGGACUCAUCAGACCAAAGGACAGAUUUCCACUGGUCUAAUGUCCAUUGCUCGUGUUUCUUGGCCCAAGCAAGUCUCUUCUUCUUAUUGGUGUCCUUUAGUAGUGGUUUCUUUGCAGCAAUUCUACCAUGAAGGCCUGAUUCACACAGUCUCCUCUGAACAGUUUAUGUUGAGAUGUGUCUGUUACUUGAACUCUGAAGCAUUUAUUUGAACUUAUCCUCUGCAGCAGAGGUAACUCUGGGUCUUCCUUUCCUGUGGUGGUCCUCAUGAGAGCCAGUUUCAUCAUAAUGCUUGAUGGUUUUUGCAACUGCAAAGUUCUUGACAUUUUCUGGACUGACUGACCUUCAUGUCUUAAAGUAAUGAUGGACUAUCAUUCCUCUUCGCUUAUUUGAGCUGUUCUUGCCAUAAUAUGGACUUGGUCUUUUACCAAAUAGGGCUAUCUUCUGUAUACCACCCCUACCUUGUCACAACACAACUGAUUGGCUCAAACGCUAUAAGAAGGAAAUACAUUCCACAAAUUAACUUUUAACAAGGCACACCUGUUAAUUAAAAUGCAUUCCAGGUGACUACCUCAUGAAGCUGGUUGAGAGAAUGCCAAGAGUGUGCAAAGCUGUCAUC
RNAcentral lists this long non-coding RNA (3112 nucleotides) under Salmo salar (Atlantic salmon). Its description in RNAcentral is "lncRNA (ENSSSAG00000121156.1)". The record is from RNAcentral. Lineage: Eukaryota; Metazoa; Chordata; Actinopteri; Salmoniformes; Salmonidae.